RNAcentral lists this ribosomal RNA (427 nucleotides) under uncultured bacterium. RNAcentral's name for it is "bacterial SSU rRNA". It matches the Rfam family "Bacterial small subunit ribosomal RNA", at positions 355 to 774 of the family's 1533-position model. The record is from RNAcentral.
UGGGGAAUUUUGGACAAUGGGCGCAAGCCUGAUCCAGCAAUGCCGCGUGUGUGAAGAAGGCCUUCGGGUUGUAAAGCACUUUUGUCCGGAAAGAAAUCCGUCUGGCUAAUACCCGGACGGGAUGACGGUACCGGAAGAAUAAGCACCGGCUAACUACGUGCCAGCAGCCGCGGUAAUACGUAGGGUGCGAGCGUUAAUCGGAAUUACUGGGCGUAAAGGGUGCGCAGGCGGUCUUGCAAGUCAGAUGUGAAAGCCCCGGGCUUAACCUGGGAAUUGCGUUUGAAACUACAAGACUAGAGUGCAGCAGAGGGGAGUGUAAUUCCAUGUGUAGCAGUGAAAUGCGUAGAGAUGUGGAAGAACACCGAUGGCGAAGGCAGCUCCCUGGGUUGACACUGACGCUCAUGCACGAAAGCGUGGGGAGCAAACA